Long non-coding RNA from Octopus sinensis (East Asian common octopus), 101 nucleotides. RefSeq lists it as uncharacterized. The record is from RefSeq and is a predicted model, not a curated record. NCBI's taxonomy places the organism in Eukaryota, Metazoa, Mollusca, Cephalopoda, Octopoda, Octopodidae. The transcript is spliced from 3 exons.
UUUUAUGUGGCACCAACAUGGAUGCUCUUUCACAGCACUGGCACCUGAAGGACAAGCCUGUAUGUGUGGAUGAUAGCAAUUUUACUUAGCAUGAUGCAUCU